Molecule: ribosomal RNA, 1232 nt
Filed under: metagenome
Description: bacterial LSU rRNA
Rfam family: Bacterial large subunit ribosomal RNA
Source: RNAcentral
UGAGUACGAGAUGCUACGGCAUCGAAGCAGUCUACGUCAUACUUCCAAGAAAAGCUCGCACUGUCAAAAACAAAUUAAUGCCUGUACCAUAACCGACACAGGUGGGUAGGUAGAGUAUACUAAGGGGCGCGAGAUAACUCUCUCUAAGGAACUCGGCAAAAUAACUCCGUAACUUCGGGAGAAGGAGUGCCUUUUUAAGGCUGCAAUAACCAGAUCCAAGCAACUGUUUAUCAAAAACACAGGUCUCCGCUAAGUCGUAAGACGAUGUAUGGGGGCUGACGCCUGCCCAGUGCCAGAAGGUUAAAGAAGUUGGUUAGCCCUGCGAAGCUGAUGACUGAAGCCCUGGUGAACGGCGGCCGUAACUAUAACGGUCCUAAGGUAGCGAAAUUCCUUGUCGGGUAAGUUCCGACCCGCACGAAAGGCGUAAUGAUUUGGAUACUGUCUCGGAGAGGGACUCGGUGAAAUAGACUUGUCUGUGAAGAUGCGGACUACCUGCACCAGGACAGAAAGACCCUAUGAAGCUUUACUGUAACUUGAGAUUGAAAUUGGACUUUAUUUGCGCAGUAUAGGUGGGAGGCGUUGAAAAUAUUCUUGCGGGAAUAUCGGAGCCAUCAGUGAGAUACCACUCUUGUAAUGUUAGAUUUCUAACUUUGUAUCAUUAUCUGGUCAAAGAACAGUCACAGGCGGGCAGUUUGACUGGGGCGGUCGCCUCCCAAAUGGUAACGGAGGCGCACAAAGGUUUCCUCUGAACGGGUAGAAAUCGUAUCUAGAGUGUAAAGGCAUAAGGAAGCUUGACUGUGAGACUUACAAGUCGAGCAAGGACGAAAGUCGGUCUUAGUGAUCUGACGGUGCUGAGUGGAAAGGCCGUCACUCAACGGAUAAAAGUUACUCUAAGGAUAACAGGCUGAUCUCCCCCAAGAGUUCACAUCGACGGGGAGGUUUGGCACCUCGAUGUCGGCUCAUCGCAUCCUGGGGCGGUAGUACGUCCCAAGGGUUGGGCUGUUCGCCCAUGAAAGCGGUACGCGAGCUGGGUUCAGAACGUCGUGAGACAGUUCGGUCCAUAUCCGGUGUAGGCGUUAGAAUAUUGAGAGGAGCCUUCUUUAGUACGAGAGGACCGAGAAGGACAUACCUCUGGUGUACCAGUUAUCGUGCCAACGGUAAACGCUGGGUAGCUAUGUAUGGAGUGGAUAACCGCUGAAAGCAUCUAAGUGGGAAGCCCACCUCAAGAUAAG